UUUGCAGCGCUAGACAUGUCUUUGCUCUUCUUUAUAAAUAAUGCUCAACAGAAACACAAUAACCUGCAGUAAGAGCAAAUCAAUAGGGUUAAUGACACGCCAGUCGGUCAAUAUACUGUAAAGGUAACCACCACCAAUCAAGCAUUCUUCUAAUUGACAGGGGAGAUGGAAAGUCCAUCUUUUCACUUGAGUUCAACAAUUUUGAAGUCAAUGUGUAUCAUCUGCUGAUUAGACAAAAGCUUUCAAGUUUCACCAGAUUGCUCUACACCAUACUAGCAGCUUGCAUUCAAUCUCCAUAUCAAUUAAACUUGCUAUUCAAACUUCCGUAAUGUCAUCGAUGAAGAUCAUUAGCCAUUCACAACCACUUCGAUCUUAACCAAGUUCCAACGUCAGCAAAAAAUUAACCAUUUGGUAAUCUAAUCCCAGAUGAACAUUUUUUUGUGGCAUCCCAACAUUUGCUCUCUAACUGUCCACAAAGAUACAAACACAAUAAAAUCAUCGGGAAGAAGCUUGUAAAGUACUAACGUCCAUGCAUUCAAGUGGAACCGUAAUGUAGCAAAAUCUCCCUAAUGCACCAGAAAAUUUCACUACCUCACAGGAUCAUCAAAUCAUGAUACUUAAGUUUUCAGUUUCUUCUGGAAAUCAACACAUUAUGAUCAAAUCAAAAAUCGAAACAUUAGAAAGCUCAAACAUAAGAAGACAAUCCAUAAGCCAACAAUUUGAGCUAGAGCCAAUCAAACAAAGCCAUUCAAGGGGAGAAAAGAAUACUACAUCUUUUUUCCAAGUAACAGGCAGCAAAACGACAAAAAAACGAACUUUUUUCAUCAGAUCAAGGCUCAGAUCACCCUAUAAGCCAAAAUAUCCCACGAUUAUAAGUAGAAGAUCGCGAAUAUCCAGAUCAGGAAAAACGCACCCAGACCUCCAAAAGAGCUGGAAGAUAACAGAGAUCUGACCGGAAUCACAAAUCCAGCAAUUUGAAACACAGCAAGUAAAAGGGGAGGAAAGAACGAACGUACCCAGAAAAAAAACGAAAGAAGUUUCAGAAGGGAAUUGACGACGAUGAUUAAAACGAUGAUGAGGCGUUGUGGGGGAAGGGAGGAAAGGGAAAAGCAGAGAUGGAAAUAUUCAAGGGUGGCAGAGCUGGCAAUAAAGGGGGGGGAAAGGAAGAGAUGGGUGUACUGUGAAAGCCUGAAAGGGGCAAAUUAAAGGGUGGAAAUGGGCAGAGAAAAAGGGUAUUGAAUUAUUGCUGGUGGAAUGUGAGCUGAGGGAAGAAGAGGUAUGAAGAAGAAGAGGGAAAUAAUAUUUGUGAUGAUGAUUAUGUUGCAGAAGGAAAGAUGGAAUUUUU
This 1345-nucleotide long non-coding RNA is filed under the name Linum usitatissimum (flax). RNAcentral describes it as "long non-coding RNA (LUSI_LNC004433)". The record is from RNAcentral. Lineage: Eukaryota; Viridiplantae; Streptophyta; Magnoliopsida; Malpighiales; Linaceae.